RNAcentral lists this ribosomal RNA (731 nucleotides) under Streptomyces sp. YIM 56090. Its description in RNAcentral is "bacterial SSU rRNA". It matches the Rfam family "Bacterial small subunit ribosomal RNA", at positions 54 to 803 of the family's 1533-position model. Lineage: Bacteria; Bacillati; Actinomycetota; Actinomycetes; Kitasatosporales; Streptomycetaceae. The record is from RNAcentral.
CAUGCAGUCGAACGAUGAACCACUUCGGUGGGGAUUAGUGGCGAACGGGUGAGUAACACGUGGGCAAUCUGCCCUUCACUCUGGGACAAGCCCUGGAAACGGGGUCUAAUACCGGAUAACACUGCGGAUCGCAUGGUCUGCGGUUAAAAGCUCCGGCGGUGAAGGAUGAGCCCGCGGCCUAUCAGCUUGUUGGUGAGGUAAUGGCUCACCAAGGCGACGACGGGUAGCCGGCCUGAGAGGGCGACCGGCCACACUGGGACUGAGACACGGCCCAGACUCCUACGGGAGGCAGCAGUGGGGAAUAUUGCACAAUGGGCGAAAGCCUGAUGCAGCGACGCCGCGUGAGGGAUGACGGCCUUCGGGUUGUAAACCUCUUUCAGCAGGGAAGAAGCGAAAGUGACGGUACCUGCAGAAGAAGCGCCGGCUAACUACGUGCCAGCAGCCGCGGUAAUACGUAGGGCGCAAGCGUUGUCCGGAAUUAUUGGGCGUAAAGAGCUCGUAGGCGGCUUGUCACGUCGAUUGUGAAAGCCCGAGGCUUAACCUCGGGUCUGCAGUCGAUACGGGCUAGCUAGAGUGUGGUAGGGGAGAUCGGAAUUCCUGGUGUAGCGGUGAAAUGCGCAGAUAUCAGGAGGAACACCGGUGGCGAAGGCGGAUCUCUGGGCCAUUACUGACGCUGAGGAGCGAAAGCGUGGGGAGCGAACAGGAUUAGAUACCCUGGUAGUCCACGCCGU